CUUGGGUAGGUGGCGUCAAUCAUUUCCCACACAGUUUGUCUACAGAGAAGAUGCCCAAAUAGCUGGAAAAAAAACUCCACAAAACCAGCAAAGAUCAGUUCCCCAUCUCACCUUUUUAGACAACCAGUCCUCACCUUGUGGUUGGCCCUCCCAACCCUCGUUUCCAUUACCUAAAAUCCCAAGUCCAUUAAAAUCUAUCUCAUUAAUCACUUUCUCUGCUGUUGCCUGAGGAGGUCUGGAGAGAUUUACUGUCUUUGUCACAUGCUGGAGCUCCUCUUUCCUCAGCUUAUCUCUGACACCAACACAGGAACCGACCACCACUUCCCUGCUUCCCUCAUGGCUUUCCUGGCUGCUGUGACCACAUGGCAGUGUGCUGGGACAUGCUGUAGGAGUUCUGUCACUGCUGUCAGCUGUAAGCCCUGCAGGAUGUUGCCUUCACCAGCGAGGCUGGAGAUGCUGAUGGGAGUGAGAAUUCAGGCUUCACAGAGGCUUCUCCUGUGGUUGUGUUGAGGGGAGCCCCUCGCCUGGCUCUGCUGCGUUGGAGCAGUGACACUGCUGGCCUGGCACCUGCCUGCCUGCUGGUGAUCACCUGCUGGAACUGCCUUACUGCAGAGGAGCGUGAAGGACCUGCUG
This 633-nucleotide long non-coding RNA is filed under the name Gallus gallus (chicken). RNAcentral describes it as "long non-coding RNA NONGGAT004707". Lineage: Eukaryota; Metazoa; Chordata; Aves; Galliformes; Phasianidae. The record is from RNAcentral.